UUUUUUUCUUCUAAAAUAAAACCUACAAUUAAUAUGUAAUUAUGUAAAAAAUUGCCUUUAAUUGGUAAAUAGUUUUCCUAACUACAAGACUUUGGUAAAAAACUCUUUGCCUUUGACCCACAAAUGCCCCUUCAAUUCUGCACCGCUUCAUCGUCGACGUUAAUCUCUCUCUCUCUCUCUCUCUCUCUCUCUCUCUCUCUCUCUCAACGAAACUAUGAAACCGGUAGAUGCCCGCUUGCUUCUUCCUUCAAUAAGCCCUAAAAUCACACCAUCGCCUACUUCCGCUAAUACAGUCGUACGCGCCGGUUGGGCGACGAUGGCGGUUCAACCGGACGACGUUGAGCUAGGUGGUCGGACAAUAUGUUAACGAUGGUGAGCCGCACACGGAUUCCCAUGCUGGUGAGCCUUACCCAAAUCGAUUUAACCUGCUCGUCUUUCUGUUCGUCACCGCUCUCUCGGCCAGUAGGAAACCGGCUUACUGAACCCUCAUCUACCAUCAUAAACGGAAGCACCGAAGCAGCUAUUCAAUAGUGGAGGAAUUAGCAGGAUUCGGUGCAUCAAUACAUAUGUGUUCCAGAAAUCAAAAAGAGAUCAAUGAAAGGCUGGUUGGAAUGGACGGGAACCGGAUAAAAGAACUCUUGGAAAGUGAGUUCAUUUGUUCUACAUCUUCUUUUUUCUUCAAGUUUCUUUUUAGUUUUGAAUUUGGCAAGAUUUGUUUUGAAUAUGCUCUCCAUUUGAACGAUUUUAGCGCAUUAGAAUUUCACAAGGUAUACAAAUAAAAAUGUCAAGAAUUGCUUGCAUGCAUGUUUCAUUUUAAUUUUAUAAAUCAU
This is a non-coding RNA of Lactuca sativa (garden lettuce), 830 nucleotides long. Lineage: Eukaryota; Viridiplantae; Streptophyta; Magnoliopsida; Asterales; Asteraceae. The record is from RefSeq and is a predicted model, not a curated record.